This 427-nucleotide ribosomal RNA is filed under the name uncultured bacterium. RNAcentral's name for it is "partial 16S ribosomal RNA". It matches the Rfam family "Bacterial small subunit ribosomal RNA", at positions 355 to 774 of the family's 1533-position model. The record is from RNAcentral.
UGGGGAAUAUUGGACAAUGGGCGAAAGCCUGAUCCAGCCAUGCCGCGUGUGUGAAGAAGGUCUUCGGAUUGUAAAGCACUUUAAGUUGGGAGGAAGGGCAUUAACCUAAUACGUUAGUGUUUUGACGUUACCGACAGAAUAAGAACCGGCUAACUCUGUGCCAGCAGCCGCGGUAAUACAGAGGGUGCAAGAGUUAAUCGGAAUUACUGGGCGUAAAGCGCGCGUAGGUGGUUUGUUAAGUUGGAUGUGAAAGCCCCGGGCUCAACCUGGGAACUGCAUCCAAAACUGGCAAGCUAGAGUACGGUAGAGGGUGGUGGAAUUUCCUGUGUAGCGGUGAAAUGCGUAGAUAUAGGAAGGAACACCAGUGGCGAAGGCGACCACCUGGACUGAUACUGACACUGAGGUGCGAAAGCGUGGGGAGCAAACA